RNAcentral lists this ribosomal RNA (468 nucleotides) under uncultured bacterium. Its description in RNAcentral is "partial 16S ribosomal RNA". It matches the Rfam family "Bacterial small subunit ribosomal RNA", at positions 28 to 507 of the family's 1533-position model. The record is from RNAcentral.
GACGAACGCUGGCGGCGUGCUUAACACAUGCAAGUCGAACGGAAAGGCCCUGCGUUUGUUGGGUGCUCGUGUGGCGAACGGGUGAGUAACACGUGUGUAUCCUGCCCCUGUCAGUGGGAUAACUUCAGGAAACACGGGCUAAUACCGGAUAGGAGCUCCUGCUGCAUGGGGGGGGAUGGAAAGUUUCGGCGGUUGUGGCUGGACUCGCGGCUUAUCAGCUUCUUGGUGUGGUAGUGGCUUACCAAGGCUUUGACGGGUAGCCGGCCUGAGAGGGUGAACGGCGACAAUGGGACUGAGAUACGGCCCAGACGCGUACGGGAGGCAGCAGUGGGGAGUAUUGCACAAUGGGCGGGAGCCUGAUGCAGCAACGCCGGGUGCGGGAUGACGGGCUUCGGGUUGUAAACCGAUGUCGCCUGUGACGAGGCGUGAGUGACGGUAAUGGGUAAAGAAGCACCGGCUAACUACGUG